UCAAAGGAAUUGACGGGGACCCGCACAAGCGGUGGAUGAUGUGGAUUAAUUCGAUGCAACGCGAAAAACCUUACCUACCCUUGACAUGGAUGGAACCUUGGAGAGAUCUGAGGGUGCUCGAAAGAGAGCCAUCACACAGGUGCUGCAUGGCUGUCGUCAGCUCGUGUCGUGAGAUGUUGGGUUAAGUCCCGCAACGAGCGCAACCCUUGUCAUUAGUUGCUACGCAAGAGCACUCUAAUGAGACUGCCGGUGACA
This 255-nucleotide ribosomal RNA is filed under the name Pseudoduganella guangdongensis. Its description in RNAcentral is "partial 16S ribosomal RNA". It matches the Rfam family "Bacterial small subunit ribosomal RNA", at positions 901 to 1160 of the family's 1533-position model. The record is from RNAcentral. Lineage: Bacteria; Pseudomonadati; Pseudomonadota; Betaproteobacteria; Burkholderiales; Oxalobacteraceae.